This 301-nucleotide ribosomal RNA is filed under the name uncultured bacterium. RNAcentral's name for it is "partial 16S ribosomal RNA". It matches the Rfam family "Bacterial small subunit ribosomal RNA", at positions 509 to 809 of the family's 1533-position model. The record is from RNAcentral.
CAGCAGCCACGGUAAUACGUAGGUCCCGAGCGUUGUCCGGAUUUAUUGGGCGUAAAGCGAGCGCAGGCGGUUAGAUAAGUCUGAAGUUAAAGGCUGUGGCUUAACCAUAGUACGCUUUGGAAACUGUUUAACUUGAGUGCAGAAGGGGAGAGUGGAAUUCCAUGUGUAGCGGUGAAAUGCGUAGAUAUAUGGAGGAACACCGGUGGCGAAGGCGGCUUUCUGGACUGUAACUGACGCUGAGGCUCGAAAGCCAGGGGAGCGAACAGGAUUAGAUACCCGCGUAGUCCCUGUCUCUUAUACA